ACCUACGGGGCGCAGCAGUGGGGAAUAUUGCACAAUGGGCGAAAGCCUGAUGCAGCGACGCCGCGUGAAGGAUGAAGUAUUUCGGUAUGUAAACUUCUAUCAGCAGGGAAGAAAAUGACGGUACCUGACUAAGAAGCCCCGGCUAACUACGUGCCAGCAGCCGCGGUAAUACGUAGGGGGCAAGCGUUAUCCGGAUUUACUGGGUGUAACGGUAGCGUAGACGGCGAUGCAAGCCAGAUGUGAAAGCCCGGGGCUCAACCCCG
Molecule: ribosomal RNA, 263 nt
Filed under: uncultured bacterium
Lineage: Bacteria
Description: partial 16S ribosomal RNA
Rfam family: Bacterial small subunit ribosomal RNA
Source: RNAcentral